CCAGACAGUCGGAUGGUCGCGGGCGCUUUUAGGCGUCUGAGGAAAGUCCGGGCUUCACGGGAACACGAUACCGGAUAACGUCCGGCGGGGGUGACCCCAGGGAAAGUGCAGCAGAAAGCAAACCGCCGACCUUUUUUAAAAAGGGGUAAGGGUGAAAGGGUGCGGUAAGAGCGCACCGCUUUUCCGGUAACGGAAAAGGCACGGAAAACCCUAUCGGAAGCAAGACCAAGUCAGGCGUACGCAACCGCGUAUUCAAGGGCGUUCCCGUCCUUCGCCAGAGGUAGGUCGCUGGAGGCGUUCGGCAACGGACGUCGUAGAAGAAUGGCCAUCGAUUACAGAACCCGGCUUACAGACUGUCUGGCAUA
This 365-nucleotide RNase P RNA is filed under the name Acetobacter sp. CAG:977. RNAcentral's name for it is "Bacterial RNase P class A". It matches the Rfam family "Bacterial RNase P class A". Rfam says of the family: Ribonuclease P (RNase P) is a ubiquitous endoribonuclease, found in archaea, bacteria and eukarya as well as chloroplasts and mitochondria. Its best characterised activity is the generation of mature 5'-ends of tRNAs by cleaving the 5'-leader elements of precursor-tRNAs. Cellular RNase Ps are ribonucleoproteins. The record is from Rfam by way of RNAcentral. Lineage: Bacteria; Pseudomonadati; Pseudomonadota; Alphaproteobacteria; Acetobacterales; Acetobacteraceae.